GGGGGGCUCGGAGUUUCACUCCCAACCCUUUUGUGACAUACCUAUCGUUGCUUCGGCGGACUCGCCCCAGCGUCCGGCCGGCCCCGCGCCGGCCGCGGCCUGGAUCCAGGCGGCCGCCGGAGACCCCCAAACUCUGUAUUCUCAGUAUCUUCUGAAUCCGCCGCAAGGCAAAACAAAUGAAUCAAAACUUUCAACAACGGAUCUCUUGGUUCUGGCAUCGAUGAAGAACGCAGCGAAAUGCGAUAAGUAAUGUGAAUUGCAGAAUUCAGUGAAUCAUCGAAUCUUUGAACGCACAUUGCGCCCGCCAGCAUUCUGGCGGGCAUGCCUGUUCGAGCGUCAUUUCAACCCUCGACUUCCCUUUGGGGAAAUCGGCGUUGGGGACCGGCCGUAUACCGCCGGCCCCGAAAUGAAGUGGCGGCCCGUCCGCGGCGACCUCUGCGUAGUAAUCCAACUCGCACCGGAACCCCGACGUGGCCACGCCGUAAAACCCCCGACUUCUGAACGUUGACCUCGGAUCAGGUAGGAAUACCCGCUGAACUUAAGCAUAUCAAUAAGCGGAGGAA
Molecule: ribosomal RNA, 563 nt
Filed under: fungal sp.
Lineage: Eukaryota; Fungi
Description: eukaryotic LSU rRNA
Rfam family: 5.8S ribosomal RNA (bases 186-339)
Source: RNAcentral